CCUACGGGCGGCAGCAGUAGGGAAUAUUGCUCAAUGGGGGAAACCCUGAAGCAGCAAUUCCGCGUGGAGGAUGAAGGUUUUCGGAUUGUAAACUACUUUUGUACGAGAAGAUAAUGACGGUAUCUAACGAAUAAGCACCGGCUAACUCCGUGACAGCAGCCGCGGUAAUACGGAGGGUGAAAGCGUUAAUCGGAACCACUGGGCGUAAAGAGCGCGGAGGCGGGAUAGCAAGUCAGAUGUGAAAUCCUAUGGCUUAACCAUAGAACUGCAUUUGAAACUGUUAUUCUAGAGUAUGUGAGAGGUAGGUGGAAUUCUUGGUGGAGGAGUAAAAUCCGUAGAGAUCAAGAGGAAUACUCAUUGCGAAGGCGACCUGCUAGAACAUAACUGACGCUGAUGCGCGAAAGCGUGGGGAGCAAACAGGAUUAGAUACCCCAGUAGUC
RNAcentral lists this ribosomal RNA (440 nucleotides) under uncultured bacterium. RNAcentral describes it as "partial 16S ribosomal RNA". It matches the Rfam family "Bacterial small subunit ribosomal RNA", at positions 338 to 795 of the family's 1533-position model. The record is from RNAcentral.